This is a small nuclear RNA of Chroicocephalus ridibundus (black-headed gull), 107 nucleotides long. The record is from RefSeq and is a predicted model, not a curated record. Lineage: Eukaryota; Metazoa; Chordata; Aves; Charadriiformes; Laridae.
GUGCUGUCUUCGGCAGCACAUACGCUAAAAUUGGAGCAAUAUGGAGAAGAUUAGCAUGGCCACUGUGCAAGGCCGACACACAAAUUCGUGAAGCGUUCCAUAUUUUA